GGAGGGAAGAGCCAGCGCACACUCGCGCGUGCGUGAGCUGGCGCGCGAGAUAGGGCCCGGUCGCGCCGAGGCUCGAGCGGCCGUCGCCAUUUUGUAGGGUUCUCUCUGACGCGGGAGCCGCCGCCACCACCGCCGCCGCCCGGAGGCUCUUGUCAGAAUGGUGAAGCUGUUCAUCGGAAACCUGCCCCGGGAGGCCACGGAGCAGGAGAUCCGUUCACUCUUUGAGCAGUAUGGGAAGGUGCUGGAAUGUGAUAUCAUUAAGAACUACGGCUUUGUGCAUAUAGAGGACAAGACGGCGGCCGAGGAUGCCAUCCGCAACCUGCACCAUUACAAGCUGCACGGGGUGAACAUCAACGUGGAAGCCAGCAAGAAUAAGAGCAAAGCUUCAACCAAGUUGCAUGUGGGCAACAUCAGCCCCACCUGUACCAACCAAGAGCUUCGGGCCAAGUUUGAGGAGUAUGGUCCAGUCAUCGAAUGUGACAUCGUGAAAGAUUAUGCCUUCGUACACAUGGAGCGGGCAGAGGAUGCGGUAGAGGCCAUCAGGGGCCUUGACAACACAGAGUUUCAAGGCAAACGGAUGCACGUGCAGUUGUCCACCAGCCGGCUUAGGACUGCGCCCGGGAUGGGAGACCAGAGCGGCUGCUAUCGGUGCGGGAAAGAGGGGCACUGGUCCAAAGAGUGCCCAGUAGAUCGUUCGGGCCGCGUGGCAGACUUUACCGAGCAGUAUAAUGAGCAGUACGGAGCUGUGCGUACACCUUACACCAUGGGCUACGGGGAGUCCGUGUAUUACAACGAUGCUUACGGAGCGCUCGACUACUACAAGCGUUACCGCGUCCGCUCCUACGAGGCAGUGGCGGCAGCAGCAGCAGCUUCUGCGUACAACUACGCAGAACAGACCAUGUCCCAUCUGCCUCAAGUCCAGAGCUCAGCUGUGACCAGUCACCUCAACUCCGGCGCUGUGGAUCCCUACGACAGACACCUGCUGCCGAACUCCGGUGCUGCUGCCACCUCAGCUGCUAUGGCUGCUGCCGCUGCCACCACUUCGUCCUAUUAUGGAAGGGACAGGAGCCCCCUUCGUCGUGCUGCAGCUGUGCUCCCCACAGUUGGAGAGGGCUACGGUUAUGGGCCAGAGAGUGAGCUGUCUCAGGCUUCAGCCGCUGCACGGAAUUCUCUGUAUGACAUGGCCCGGUAUGAGCGGGAGCAGUAUGUGGACCGAGCGCGGUACUCAGCCUUUUAAAGACUGGAGGUGUGAACCUCAAAUGGACUGAAUAACCCUGAGUUGGUUGCAGUCCCAGGAGCCUGAUGUUAAUGAGGCUGCCAGGAUGAAAUACUCCAGAACUGUUGGGGAUCCAAAUUCGGGUCUCACCCUAGCACAACUGAUUCAAGAACGUCACAACUUUUGAAGUCGAUUGGCACAGAUCAAGACCAAGAUUUGGCCCUUUGUCUGUAAUAAGUAGAGGAACUUGGUGACAGGACCAGGGCCCUUGUACUCGGAGCCAAGCUGCUCUCCAGGCAUUGUGUAAGCCUCUUGUGUUGUGCUCUCUUUCAGGUAGGAUAAUUGCGGACUGAACCCUCGGGCUGCGGUCAUAUAUGAGAACUUGCUCCGCGCGGUCCCUUUUGCCGGGAUGUUUCCAUUGCUUCAUGUUUCAGUAAACAAAGGAAUUUGUGACCAACUAUGUUUUCUUUCUUAAUUUAAUUCUAAGUUGACUUUUUCUUUCCUCCUGAUACAAGUCUCUGUAGCCUUUCACUCUGUUCCUUAUAUUCUCAGCCUCUGAGCAGCCCUAGGUAAGGAUUAUGCUGACACCCCCUUUCCUGUACAGUGGAACCCCUCUUAUCUUGCUUUCCUUAGGAGUUGAGCCCUUCUCUCUGUCCACCUGCAACAUCUCCUUUCCCUUUAAAAUGACCAUGUAGUGGCAAGCAACCUUUUACUCUUCUCUGUUAGCUCUGGACUCUAACAUUGAAGCUGAUCUUCUGAAUUUGCUAGGACCGUUGGGGUUUCUUGUGGGGGGGAGGGGGUUGUUGUUUUGUUUUGUUUUUUUUUAUGUCUGACCUGUGAUCGUGGUACAGCAUUAGCUGAAAUUUAGUCUUGUUUUUACUCCACUCCUCCCGCUUUUUUUUUUUUUUAAUAUUUUGACAAAUAAACGUUUCUAACACUUAAGUAUCUUUUUGUGUUUGUGUGACUGCUAUUUAACCAGUAUCUUCUGGUUCUUUCUCAGUUGUGCUCAGACUACAAAAUUUAAGUGAAUCGAUGUCUGAAAUCUAGAUGUAGAAGGAAGGAUUUAAGGAGAUAGGUAAUGUGGCCUCGACAAAGGAUUGAGAAAAAUUAGCCAGCAUCUCGAGACAUUGAUAAAUACGCUCCUUCUUUCUAAAUACCAGAGCUGCACUUUCCAUUUGAAAGGCUAGCAAAACCAGGUUAGUAGUGACAGAAGGGGGCCCUGCAGACAGUAGGAACCCUGUAUCAGGAAAAGGUGGAGCCAGAAUAUCACCAAGGACCUAUCAGGUUGACUCCAUUUGACUUUAUAGUAUGUUUGUUUAAAUUCACUUACAAACUAUUUUAAGAGUUCUCGCUUCCCAAGGUGUUAAUAUUUUGCUAGGAUUCGACUUUGGCUAAAAUGAGUAAGACAGUUGUGAUGGAUCAAAAGACAGGAAACGUCAUAUUUUGAGCAGAAAAGGCAAGAAGGGUAUUAAUGAUUGGCAGUGACAACAUUCUGCAAUGAAAUGCGUCCUCUAAAAUUUUAUGAAUAUGAUUGUAUAUUAUCGUUGCUUAGAUCCCCAUAAAAUGAGUUUAACGAUGGAUUCAGCCCUACUUCUGUUUUAUUGUGUUCUAUAUGGAAAUGUUGACAUGUAAAUUCUGACUACCUGUGAAUGUUUAUAAUUAUAUAGCAUUUCCCCCACAUAUUUUAUACUAGUAUUAAGAUAAUCUUGACAUAGGUGAAGCAAAAAUUUCCCGAUUUUUUGGGGGGAUGGAAUACAGCUAGAGAGAGAGAGGUUAACCUGUCAGUGCACACGCGCCAACUAGUGGGGGAAGUAACAAGGCCCAUUUCAGCUUCAGCAUUCCCUUAAGGGGACAGGACUGUCCCUGUUACACAAAAAGGAGAGUAAAGCAAAGCUCCUGGGAUUUCCUUGUGAUUGAUCUCCAACACACCAGGCAGAACAAAGAAAUAUGUAGGUGGUCCUCUGUGCUAACCUAACACAGUAGUUUAACAUGUCUUGAUUUCUAUCUCACUGUCAGGACAAGCAAAAAAAAAGACUGGCUUCUAUAAAACAGUUCUACAUCAGCAUCAUCCAGUAAAACUGGGCAGUACUGAAAGUGUUCCUUAUCUGUGCUGUCCAAUUUGUAGCCACCAGCUACCUGUGCUUAAGUAAUUAAAAUGUGGCUAGUGAAGCUGAGAGACUGAGUUUUUUAUUUUAAUUAUAAUUAGCCACAUGUGAUUAUUGAGGACUUGCAAUAUGGCCAAUGAAGCUGAGAAACAAUUUCCUAUAAUGUAAUUAGCCAUGUGUGGCUAGUGGCUACUGUAUUGGACAACAUAGUUUAGAUGGUAAAAUAAGUUUCUUAUGAGGAAAAAAAGCCUUGUGGAUCAUGGUAAAAUAUCCUUUCUGUAGAAAACCCUUUCAUUCCCCUCAAAAUAGGUAACACUGGGAAAGCAGUUAGUUUUGAGCCAAUGUAAGACAACUGUUGAGUAGGAACAAAUGUGUUUAUUUCGAAACGUCAGUUCUUAAAUGAGAAAUUUCAUGUUGUGGGUACAAAAUCCCUUUUAUUCACCAAGACCAUUUUUCUCCUGGGCCAUUUCAGAGUCCCAUGAGGCCUCACACUAAAAGUUCCUGAAUUCAUUUAGAUAGUUAUUUGAAUUCCUGCUGUGAGCCAGGAUUUGGGUGAUGAAUGAGACAUGUUCCUAGUAGAGAAGCAAACCUUAAUUGCAUCUGUGCUAAGUACUAUGGUGGGACCUAUACAGGGUGCUGUGAAAACACACUAGUGACUGAUGGGGGCCGGGGGGGGGGGGUUGAUUUUCCAAGCCAUGUGAAGACCAGUGAUGCCUGUCAGGAAACAGAAAAGGAGCUCUGUGGCAAAAAGAAAUCUGAAGAGGUAAGUUACAGGUACAGUUAAUGAAAGCCUUGCAGGUUGUAUUAAGGAAUUUCAUCUUGACCCUAAGACCAACUGGAAGCUAUUACAGGGUUUUAUGUUUGGAGGUAACAGGAUCAGACUCAUUUCUCUUAAAAGAUCAUUGAUUGGAGAGGAACAAAAGUGAGUAACAUUAUAAAUGUGAGAUUUGUCUGAUUUAUAAUGGGCCUCUCCUCGAAUGAAGCCAAUAGAGUCGAUGUUUUAAAGGAAGAAAAAGUACUUCAGACAGGAGGAAGACCAAGCAUGAGAACAUGUGAUGGGGGCAUUCUCGGGGGUGGGGUUUAAAUCCCUGAGGUUGGUUGAUAAGCUCUAAAUAACGGGAUGGGCUGCGCCUCUCCUCCCUGAACACUUGCGGAGCUACCUAAGGGCUUUGCACGAGGCACCCCUUAGUGCUGAGGGGCAAAGGAGAGGAGACAAGGUCUCACUCAGAUGAGAGACAAGAUAACGAUGAAAAUGGUAUAUUUGCUAUGAGAAAUGUAAAAUCGUUGAGAGUUCAGAGAAGGGCAAUUAUGCAUUCCUACCAAAACUAUAGUUCAUUUUUUAUGCCUUAAGAUUGAAACUUUAUUUCUCUCCUUUGAAAUAGAAAUGGACCUCUCGGUUAGCAGGCCAAAAAAGAAAAAGAAACAGACUUAUCAGUCCACAGAGAGUGAAAUGUUUGAGGGGUGAUGAAGGCCAAGGGGAAGUGCCUGGCUCAGUCUGGGGAAAAGAAAAAUGAAGACUUAACAUCCCUGGCCUUCCAUCUCAAUGAAUUUCUUCCUGAGUAGUCAGCUAUUUGAGGGGGUUUCUGGGGACAGAUACACACACACCCCAGCCACUUCAAGUAGGAGACAAAAUCACCCUAGCCUGACUUAAAUAAAUGAUUUAAAUAUUGCUGCCUGGGGGAAAAGCAUGCAGAUUCCCCUAGGUGCUGUGAACUCCCUGGGUCCUGCAACACCUCCCCGAGGGAGGGGGACGGGGGGGAGACCUACUGCACCACAGCUCCGACUUGGCCCAAGCUUUGCUCUGCCCUUGAGGCCUGCGGCAGCCUCCAAUCCACCUCUUCCUUUGACUUGCAGCUACACAGUGAAGUGAGACGUGGCACAGAAAGACACGAGGCCCUAAGGGUACUGGAUGACCUGCACAGUUUGUGUGGGCAGAAGGGCAGGAAAGGGUUGGCUAGUUCAAGGUAGCCCAGAAAAGGGAAGCAACUUGCCCAAAAUUGGCCUCAUGGCUUGUCAGGAUUUCGAUCACAAACCUGGUCCUCAGAGAUAAAAUCUCCUGCCCUAGGAGACUGGGGAAGGGAGAAGUAAAAAUGCAUUCCUAGGAAGAGCUGUCAGCUUGUCAGAAGAAUUCAUCUCAAGGGCUUUCUUAAGAUCAGGGCUGUGCUCUACUGCUCAUGAGAACUGAAGUGCAAGAAAUGACAGAUCGGCCCCAGAGAAAAGAGGGAAGUUCUGGCAAAAGGAUUUUUAUCAGUAGUGUAUUAGGUUUGCCAGCCCUUUGGAGGAUCCAGGCCAACUUCAAACCACAUUGCUCUGCCCCCACGCAGAAGUGGAGCUCGCACUGCCACAGGCCUCAGCAUUCACUAGGCUAAUGGCUGAAAUUCAGGCUCCCAGACUUAAAUCCAAGCCCUUUCUGUGGCCUUGGGCAUGUUACUUAACAUCUCGGGGCCUGUUUCCUCAUCAUAAAAUGGAAAUAAUAUAUACCUUCCUCUUAAGAGUUGUGCAGAGUGAAUGUAAAGCAUUCGAUUGGCUGUUACUACAAGUGUGCAAGCAAAAGACGGGGUCCCACCCCUCCUGGAGCUCACACACAAAUCUGUAACAAACUAUCAAGGACUAGCUGUGCAGGGAGGUCGAAGGUAUAGCUGUCAUCACUCCCUCUUCAGUCCUUCAGAUUCCUGUUCCCCUCCUUCCAUUUCUUGCCCAGCUGUGGGACCUAGAGACAAACCCACUCAAGCUCUGCAUUUAGGGAUCACCAGAUCGCAAAGCUAAGGGCUCUUUAGGUUAUCAAACAGUUCCACCAUCUCUGCCUUUCUUGACCUCUGGACGCUUAUGGGAUGGGGCGUCUCCAGCCUUAACUUCAGCAGCCAUCCGUGGUCCCCGGGUUCUGCCCCAAGGCCGGGUCCUGUGCUGGCACUGUUUCCUCAAUGACUGAUGGGUGACUGCUAAUGCAGUGGAUGGAUGGGGGCCAGGGCAGAGGGUAGGGGAUCCCCAAGAGGAACACAUUCAAAUGAUGCUGACAUACACACAUUUAUUAAAUGCCUAUUCAUAUGUCAGGCAGUUGCCAGGCAUUGGGGCAAUUUCCUAACCCCGAGGUUAAAAUUUUGUGAGGAAAAGUUAAUAAGUAAAAAGAAAAACUGGGGAAAGUACCACAAAGUACGCAAACUGGGCAUAAUGGGGAAGAAUGGCAAGGGGCACCUACUUAGCUGGAGGUUGUCAGAGAGCCCUCUGAGCUUGACCCUGAAGCUAAGACCUGAAGGAUAAGAAAUUCGCCCUAGUGACCAAAGGGAAGGUUCUUCCAGGUAGAAAGAAGGCCCGAGGCAGGAAAGUGGUCUAUCAAGAUCCGAAAAAGAGGACCAGUAUGGUCAGAAAAAGGUAGUUGAGGAAAGGGCCUGACUGGAGUGUCGGGCAGAGGCAGAUAUUUCAAAGAGCUUUAGGCCAAGGUAGAGGAUUGGUAUUUUAUUUUAAACACAAUGGGAUGUUGGUGAAGGUUCUAAGUUACGGUAUGACAGGCUGAUUUAUAGUUAACAUCAUCCCAGCUACUGAGUGGAGAUUGAAUUUAAGGAAGAGGAGAGAGGGAAGAAAGAAGAGAUGCCAGAAGGCAGGCCACUGCAGUGGUCCUUGGGGGUGACUGUAUGGUUUCAACUUUGGUGUGGCAAAGACAUGAACACAAGUGGCAACGUUUUCUGUGUGUUAAAAAAGGGAUGAGGGGGAGUGAGAAGUGAGGGGAGAAUCAAGGAUGACCACCAGGAAUCUGGCUGGAGCAGCUAGGUGGAUGGUAAUGCCAUUUAAAGAGAUGGGAAAGAUGGAGGAAGUUAUUUGGGAGCCAGGAGACUCAGGAGUUCUAUUUCAGACGUAAGAGCUAUGAGAUGUGUUAAGACAACCAAGAACCCUCAAGUACAGCAGGUCCUCAUUCAACCUGGCUUUGUUGUAACGUUGAUGAGACGCGCAGGAACUUAACUCGUUUAUGUCUGUGUUACAGCUGGUUUCGUUAUGCAUCGUUUUGCCAGUACUAAGAAACUAUCAUUUACAUUAAGUGAGGACUUACUGUCGGUCUUUAGAUCCCUGAAUUUUGAGUAGAGGAGCCAUUUGGGACAAAAGAUGUAAAUCUGAUUCGUCAGCAUCUAAAUCAGCAUUAUCCCCGAAAACGUGAGCCUCUUAUGUAACUGGGAAACUUCUAAUUGCCAUAUUUAGCAAGGUAAAAACAGGUGAAAUUAGUAUUUUUAAUAAUAUAUUUUAUUUCACCCAUAUAGCCAAAAUAUUAUCAUUUAACAUAUAAUAAUCAGUAAAAAUGAGUGUUAUUCUUUUUCACACGUUUCUGAAACGCCAUGAGUAUUACAGCACCGUAUGGCUCCUUCAGAAGGUAUACAAAGCCAAGGGAAGUGAUGAAUUCACCUAGAACAAGGUUUCAACCUUGGCGCUGAGACUUGGGGCUGGGUAAUCCCUAUGGCGUAGGGGGCUUACGCUACAGGAUCAGCAGUGUCACUGGCCUAGGGGUUGUGGGCUCCAGGGAAAUGAAAGGAAGGAGUGGAUUUCAUGUUAAAACUACAGGGGUCGUUUCCAGCAGAUGCAAAAACCCAAUCAAUGUCUGGAACAGCAACAUCAAGGUCUUCCCCCACUAUCACUUCUUAAACAAUCAGGUUUUUCUUUUCUCUUCUGCCCCUGUCCUCUGGACAACUGGUAGCAUUUAUUGAGGACCACUGUCCUCAAAGAGAAACUCCAUGUACCCGUUUGGAGAGAUGGGGGGUUAUCCAAAUUCCCAGGAACCAUGGGUACCGAUUCAAGUGUCAAGCUUUCAUGGCCUCUUGGCCAGACACAGCUUGCUUGAGCAGAGGAGCAAGAUUGGGGCUGGUGAUAAACAUCUGGAAAUCUUCAGACUCUAGACAGUAGGUAAAGCCCAGGGAACUGGAGACACCACCUAAAAGAGGAUGGAGAAAAGAGGGGACCGAGUCCUAUCCUCACUUUUACUGCCCCGAAAACUGGUCAGCUUCCUUUUCACCUUGAAAACCCAAAUCUGUUUAAAACAAAACAGGCCUUCAAGGACUGUCGAGAGGAAGAGCUGGUGCAAAUGCUGAGUGGGGAGGGAGAUCAAUUAGGAAACAACUUGGGAAAUCCAGGUGAAAAAUCCAGCCUGACUAGGCUGCUAACAGUCAGGGAGCCUGAGGACAGCCAAUAAGACUUCCUAUCGGGUUGAAUGUGGGUAUAACCCUCAAGGUUUUGGCCAGAGUAACUGAAAGGUGAAGUUGCCAUCAACUGAGAUGGGAGAAGGAAAGGGGGGGAGGACAGCAGAAAUUCAGUUUUAUACGAGCUGUGUUAGAAUUAUCAGACACCCAAGCAAAAAUAUCAAAUGGGUAGUAGGAUAUGAAUCGAGUUUGGGAGCAGCAUCUGGACUUAGAUACAAACUGGGAAUUUUUGUAGAUAGAAUGGUAUUUGAAUCCACAGGAUCACCAAAGACCAACAUCUGAACUACGGACCCUCCAACAUCAAGCGGUCAGAGAGGAAGAGGAACCAGCAGAGGAAAUGGAGAAGGUAGGAAAACCAAGAGUGUCGUGUCCUGGAAGUCAAAUGAAAUGUUAAGGAAGAGUAAUCAACUUUGUCAAAAUGCUAAUCUAAGACUUCACCAGGGGCUGACGGGAUUAACUGCAAAGCAGCACAAGUGCUUUUUGGGGUGACAAAAAUAUCCUAAUUGUGGUGAUGGUUACACAAUUGUACAAUUUAUCAAAAUAUGUCAAACUGUACUUGAAAUUGAUAUU
This is an RNA transcript of Rhinolophus ferrumequinum (greater horseshoe bat), 9068 nucleotides long. It is a transcript of the gene named RNA-binding protein 4B, with no coding region annotated. The record is from RefSeq and is a predicted model, not a curated record. The transcript is spliced from 5 exons. NCBI's taxonomy places the organism in Eukaryota, Metazoa, Chordata, Mammalia, Chiroptera, Rhinolophidae.